RNAcentral lists this long non-coding RNA (1356 nucleotides) under Heterocephalus glaber (naked mole-rat). RNAcentral describes it as "lncRNA (ENSHGLG00000043467.1)". The record is from RNAcentral. Lineage: Eukaryota; Metazoa; Chordata; Mammalia; Rodentia; Bathyergidae.
GGUAUGGAGGAGCUGCGUCCUGGAGACCAGAGUGUUUGCCGCUGUCCUCAUCUUUCCUGGCAAGGAGUGAAAUGCAUCACAAACAGGAGACAGUACAUGGAAAUGAAGAGUGGUUGGUUUCCACUGAAGAGGACAGGAAAGAGAUGCUGUAGACCGAAGGGAGGAAGAACAGAACUUAUACUGUAAGAUCCUUGCACUGUGCCUGUCCUGUCUUUAAGCCAACUGAUCAUGGACUGAAUCACCUAAAAACUCACUUGGCAGCGGAGGCUCCAACCAAGAAGCACACUGACAGUGGACUAGACCAACUGACUUGAGAGAAGGUACGUCCUGGAGGAUGGCAACUCCAGGGAGAAGUAACAGACUUGGCCAGGAGCUCCAGAUCCAGCAAAACCCCAAGUUAUGGUAAACUAGAACAGCCCAGGGUUUCACUUAAAAUGUGACUUCUUCACAGCAGGUUAGAAUUGGAGAAGAAACCCAGUGCGGUGUCCACCAUAUUUCCAGAGUAAUAAUCAGGUCUCAUUUGGAGAAAGCGUUGUGAAGACUGCGUCACAGAGCAACUCGACUUCAGUGAUUCCAGCAUUACUUUCUUACAGAGACUGGCUGAGAGACAGUCACAGGAGACAGCCUCAGGGUGGGUGGGAACUGGACAUACAGCCCUGAGGAUUUUAAACUCUGGCCAGGAAGGACAUGGGCCCUGUCCUCUCUGGAGAGAAAAUAGGCACUGUGAUUGGGGCUUCCAGAGAGGCAGGAUCUGUCUACUGGAACCACCCGCCUACUGUCUACAUCUAGAGAGAUUAGUGGUCUAAUUGUUUUCCCCAUGUACAAAUGUGAACAACAGAUAUGAGUCAUCUUGGAUGGUUGCCACAUUCUGGGGUGUACAGACACAGGGAUGGAUCCCUGGAGCAGAAACGGGGCACCUCACAAACCCAUAGACCAUAAAGCUAAGCGGAGAAAAGGAUGACUUGCUGGAUUCAAAGACUAAAAACCCUAGAAAGAACCAUACAUUCAAAAAAAGAGACAAAAAAUAAUUGGCUCAAUUUUGUUUUCCUAUUUAUUUCCGUCAUUGAUUUGUGGGAGUCUUAUUUCUUUAUCCUAAUUUCUUUUUCUUUUCUUCUUUAUUUUCUUUUCUUUUCUCCUUCAGUUCCUUUUUUUAAGGUUCAUUUUCUUCUUUUAUUUGGCUUUCUGAUUUUUUCCUUUUCCUUCUUAUUCAUAUUUUUUUACUUUUAUCUAAUGUUAUUAAUUUCCUUUUGUCCCUCAAGAAAAUCCUUUAUUACACUUUUCUCCCCUACUUCUCAUCUUCUGUUAAUUUUUUAAAUUCUUUUUUUCAUUCUCAUUUCCCAUGCCUUUUAUCUUUCU